RNAcentral lists this RNase P RNA (378 nucleotides) under Fidelibacterota bacterium. Its description in RNAcentral is "RNase P RNA component class A". It matches the Rfam family "Bacterial RNase P class A". Rfam says of the family: Ribonuclease P (RNase P) is a ubiquitous endoribonuclease, found in archaea, bacteria and eukarya as well as chloroplasts and mitochondria. Its best characterised activity is the generation of mature 5'-ends of tRNAs by cleaving the 5'-leader elements of precursor-tRNAs. Lineage: Bacteria; Pseudomonadati; Fidelibacterota. The record is from RNAcentral.
UUAGCCAGUUGGAUAGUUGCUUUCAAUAUGUAGCUACAAUUUGAAAGAGGAAAGUCCGAGCACCGAAGAACAGAAUGCCUCAUAAUUAGAGGGGCUCUAUUUUAAUAGAGCACGGAAAGUGCAGCAGAAAAUAAACCGCUUUGGUAAAACAAAGUAAGGGUGAAAAGGUAGUGUAAGAGACUACCAGUCUUGANAAAAAGUUCAGGAGCUUGUAAACCCCAUUUGGUGCAAGAUUGAAUAGGCUUCGAGGUGUUGUUCGCNCCGCUUGAGAAGUGGGUAAAUUGCAUGAGCUUGGUAGUGAUGCUAGGCCUAGAUAAAUGACUAUCGCUAUGAUAUUAAAUCAUUUCACAGAACUCGGCUUAUAGACUGGCUAAUCUA